CGGAAUGUAGUUUAAGGGAAAAACAUACGGCGUUACGCACCGUAGACUCUGGUUCGAAUCCAGGCUUUCCGA
Molecule: transfer RNA, 72 nt
Filed under: Caudoviricetes sp.
Lineage: Duplodnaviria; Heunggongvirae; Uroviricota; Caudoviricetes
Also listed under: 1 other name
Description: tRNA-OTHER
Rfam family: tRNA
About the family: Transfer RNA (tRNA) molecules are approximately 80 nucleotides in length. Their secondary structure includes four short double-helical elements and three loops (D, anti-codon, and T loops).
Source: RNAcentral